UACGUAGGGGGCAAGCGUUGUCCGGAAUCAUUGGGCGUAAAGCGCGCGUAGGUGGCGCUGCAAGUCGGUGGUGAAAGCUCGCCGCUUAACGGCGAGUCGGCCAUCGAAACUGCAGGGCUCGAGCACUGUAGGGGCUAAUGGAAUUCCGGGUGUAGCGGUGGAAUGCGUAGAGAUCCGGAAGAACACCAGUGGCGAAGGCGGUUAGCUGGGCAGUUGCUGACACUGAUGCGCGACAGCGUGGGGAGCAAACAGG
Molecule: ribosomal RNA, 253 nt
Filed under: uncultured bacterium
Lineage: Bacteria
Description: partial 16S ribosomal RNA
Rfam family: Bacterial small subunit ribosomal RNA
Source: RNAcentral